This 490-nucleotide ribosomal RNA is filed under the name uncultured bacterium. Its description in RNAcentral is "partial 16S ribosomal RNA". It matches the Rfam family "Bacterial small subunit ribosomal RNA", at positions 29 to 507 of the family's 1533-position model. The record is from RNAcentral.
AGUGAACGCUGGCGGUAGGCCUAACACAUGCAAGUCGAACGGCAGCACAGGAGAGCUUGCUCUCUAGGUGGCGAGUGGCGGACGGGUGAGGAAUACAUCGGAAUCUGCCCAGUCGUGGGGGAUAACGUAGGGAAACUUACGCUAAUACCGCAUACGACCUUCGGGUGAAAGAGGGGGAUCGCAAGACCUCUCGCGAUUGGAUGAGCCGAUGUCGGAUUAGCUAGUUAGCGGGGUAAUGGCCCACCAAGGCGACGAUCCGUAGCUGGUCUGAGAGGAUGAUCAGCCACACUGGAACUGGGACACGGUCCAGACUCCUACGGGAGGCAGCAGUGGGGAAUAUUGGACAAUGGGCGCAAGCCUGAUCCAGCCAUACCGCGUGGGUGAAGAAGGCCUUCGGGUUGUAAAGCCCUUUUGUUGGGAAAGAAAUCUUUCAGGCUAAUACCCUGGGAGGAUGACGGUACCCAAAGAAUAAGCACCGGCUAACUUCGUG